GACGAACGCUGGCGGUGCGCCUUAUGCAUGCAAGUCGAGCGAAGCUUUUCAGUAGUUUACUACAGAAAAUGACUGAGCGGCGAACGGGUGAGUAACGCGUGAGCAAUCUACCUUAGUUACAGGGAUAGCCCGAGGAAACUCGGAUUAAUACCUGAUAUUCUUUAUAUUUCGCAUGAAAUAAAAAGGAAAGGUCAGCCGAACUAAGAUGAGCUCGCGUUCUAUCAGCUAGUUGGUGAGGUAAAAGCUCACCAAGGCUACGACGGAUAGCUGGUCUGAGAGGACGAUCAGCCACACUGGGACUGAGACACGGCCCAGACUCGUACGGGAGGCUGCAGCAGGGAAUAUUGCGCAAUGAGCGAAAGCUUGACGCAGCGACACCGCGUGUGGGAUGACGGAUCUAGGUAGGUAAACCACUUUCAGGAGGGAAGAAAAUGACGG
Molecule: ribosomal RNA, 438 nt
Filed under: uncultured bacterium
Lineage: Bacteria
Description: bacterial SSU rRNA
Rfam family: Bacterial small subunit ribosomal RNA
Source: RNAcentral